UACAGAGGGGGCAAGCGUUAUUCGGAAUUAUUGGGCGUAAAGGGCGCGUAGGCGGUUCUUCAAGUCUCUCGUGAAAUCCCUCGGCUUAACUGAGGACGUGCGGGAGAUACUGAAGGGCUUGAGUCCGGAAGAGGGUGGUGGAAUUCCCAGUGUAGCGGUGAAAUGCGUAGAUAUUGGGAGGAACACCGACGGCGCAGGCAGCGUCCUGGCCGCUUGCUGACACUGAGGCACGAAAGCUGGGGGAGCAAACAGG
This 253-nucleotide ribosomal RNA is filed under the name uncultured bacterium. RNAcentral describes it as "partial 16S ribosomal RNA". It matches the Rfam family "Bacterial small subunit ribosomal RNA", at positions 524 to 776 of the family's 1533-position model. The record is from RNAcentral.